AAGACCCAUUUUCCACAUCCAGUAACCAAUGACAAUGUUUUUGUUAUGAUGGACGCUUGCCACAUGCUGAAGCUGACACGCAAUAUGUUGCAGGCAUACAGCCCCAUUGGAAGCAUAAAUGGCAGUAUCAAUUAGAAGUACAUAGUCCAUCUGAACAAUGUCCAAAAGAAAAGUGGACUACAUGCUGCCAAUAGAGUCACAGAUAAGCAUGUGAACUUUUCUAAUCAGAAGAUGAAGGUCUCCCUGGCUGCUCAGACUUUGAGUAGCUGUGUGGCAGUGGCGCUCUGCACGUUGCAGGAGGUGGGCUAUGCAAAGUUCAAAGAUUGUGAGGCUACUGCAGAAUUCAUAAAGAUAACAGACAGGCUGUUUGACAUCUUGAACAGUCGCAAUCUCAGAGGCAAAGGCUUCAAAGUCCCCCUUGGUUCUAGGAAUUGGACAAGCACCAGGGAGUUCUUGUCAAAAGCCAGGGGAUACUUGCUCACUUUGAAGAUGGAAGAUGGCAAACCCCUUUACCGAACAAAGAGGUCUUUUAAAAUAGUGACUGUUGUAUUAAUGAUGCACUGACACCAUUUGCUGUCGCCAAUACCCAGUACAAAUCCUUUUAGUAUAAUUAAAUGAUCAGAAUGAGACUGCUGAUUUAGAAAAUAUGGGUUUAUUAUAUUCUGUUAGAUUUAUACAAGUAGUCAAUUUACAAGUCAUUAAAUUAUCCAAGGUAAUACUCCACCGGUUUCAGUGCAUCCCUCAACAAGUCCAUGAGUUCAUGAGAUGCUUCGUUCUCUUAUUUAUCUAUCUUCUGCAUCGAGUUCAGAUGCUCUGUUCUCCUGUCUGCAUCGAGUUCAUAAGAUGCUCUGUUCUCUUGUUUAUCUAUGUUCUGCAUCGAGUUCAGAUGCUCUGUCCUCUUGUUUGCAUCGUGUUCAUGAGAUGCUCUUUUCGGUCUGCGUCAAGUUCAUAAAGCGGUACGUAUUAUUAAUAUAAUACUAUCUUGUUCCAACGUGUUUGCAGUUUGCAAAUUUGUUUCAGUUCGAAUUCUCUUGUAUUCAGUUUUUUCCUCCCCAGAUGCCGGUGUCAAAGAGGUAUGUAUUGGAUGGUCUGCAUGUUAUGCUGUGAAUUGAUUCAAGAAGGUUUUGUGUCCCUAAAAUAAAUUUUUAGGGACAUAGCCGUUCGCCUGCUCUGUGAGCAGAAGCUGGGGCCCAAUCUUUGCGCCCCUGCGCACAGAGGAAAGGGACGCUAAUCGUGCAAAACGGAGCGAGUUUUUGCGGGGUAAUGAACCGAGGAAUCUCGGGUGGCAUUUUAGCAUAUCAUAGUUAACAGGUGUAAAAUAGUUUGUUUAUGAGAUGCGACCUAAGUUGGAGUCGAUCCGGCAACCUUGAUUUUAUCUGCCACUUUUCAGUUCCUCCGCCGGUUAAAUCCCUCAUAGGAGUUAAUGGUUUAUUGUAUAUAACAGGGAUUCCCAAAGUGUGGUGCGCGCACCCCUGGGGGUGCGCGAGCUGCCACUAGGGGGUGCGCGAGCUGA
This is a long non-coding RNA of Fundulus heteroclitus (mummichog), 1513 nucleotides long. RefSeq lists it as uncharacterized. Lineage: Eukaryota; Metazoa; Chordata; Actinopteri; Cyprinodontiformes; Fundulidae. The record is from RefSeq and is a predicted model, not a curated record. The transcript is spliced from 4 exons.